RNAcentral lists this ribosomal RNA (119 nucleotides) under Pteropus alecto (black flying fox). The record is from RNAcentral. Lineage: Eukaryota; Metazoa; Chordata; Mammalia; Chiroptera; Pteropodidae.
GUCUAUGGCCAUGCUACCCUGAACAAGCCUGAUCCCGUCUGAUCGCGGAAGCUAAGUAGGGUCAGGCCUGGUUAGUACUUGCAUGGGAGACCACCUAGGAAGACCAGGAGCUAUAGAUG